RNAcentral lists this ribosomal RNA (497 nucleotides) under uncultured bacterium. Its description in RNAcentral is "partial 16S ribosomal RNA". It matches the Rfam family "Bacterial small subunit ribosomal RNA", at positions 28 to 507 of the family's 1533-position model. The record is from RNAcentral.
GAUGAACGCUGGCGGCGUGCCUAAUACAUGCAAGUCGAGCGAACGGACGAGAAGCUUGCUUCUCUGAUGUUAGCGGCGGACGGGUGAGUAACACGUGGAUAACCUACCUAUAAGACUGGGAUAACUUCGGGAAACCGGAGCUAAUACCGGAUAAUAUUUUGAACCGCAUGGUUCAAAAGUGAAAGACGGUCUUGCUGUCACUGAUAGAUGGAUCCGCGCUGCAUUAGCUAGUUGGUAAGGUAACGGCUUACCAAGGCAACGAUGCAUAGCCGAACUGAGAGGGUGAUCGGCCACACUGGAACUGAGACACGGUCCAGACUCCUGCGGGAGGCAGCAGUAGGGAAUCUUCCGCAGUGGGCGAAAGCCUGACGGAGCAACGCCGCGUGAGUGAUGAAGGUCUUCGGAUCGUAAAACUCUGUUAUUAGGGAAGAACAUAUGUGUAAGUAACUGUGCACAUCUUGACGGUACCUAAUCAGAAAGCCACGGCUAACUACGUG